Molecule: RNA transcript, 685 nt
Organism: Elephantulus edwardii (Cape elephant shrew)
Lineage: Eukaryota; Metazoa; Chordata; Mammalia; Macroscelidea; Macroscelididae
Gene name: 40S ribosomal protein S11-like
Exons: 3
Source: RefSeq, a predicted model, not a curated record
AUGGAGUCACGCUUAAACCCCAUUGCCCUUGAGUUGAUUCCAGUUCAAGGCAGCACCAUGUGUUACCGAGAGAAUGGCUCCAUAGUCUUCUUGGCUGUUAUCCUCGUGGAAGUAGAUCACCAGACCUUUCUUCGGCAGUGCUGCUGCACAAAUUUGAAUCACAAGCUACCAGCUUUUAGGUUCGCCUUUUUCCAAGCGGCCGGAAAGAUAGCGGACAUUCAGACUGAGGGAGCCUACCAGAAGCAGCCGACCAUCUUCCAGAACAAAAAGAGAGUGCUAUUGGGUGAAACUGGCAAGGAGAAGCUCCCACGUUAUUACAAGAACAUCGGUCUGGGCUUCAAGACACCCAAGGAGGCCAUCGAGGGCACCUACAUUGACAAGAAUUGCCCUUUCACUGGUAAUGUCUCCAUCCGAAGGGGGAAUCCUGUCUGGCGUGGUGACAAAGAUGAAGAUGCAGAGGACCAUCGUCAUCCGCCGAGAUUACCUCCACUACAUCCGCAAGUACAAUCGCUUCGAGAAGCGUCACAAGAACAUGUCCGUGCACCUGUCUCCCUGCUUCAGAGAUGUCCAGAUUGGCCACAUUGUCACCGUGGGCGAGUGCCGGCCACUGAGCAAGACCGUGCGCUUCAACGUGCUCAAGGUCACCAAGGCCGCGGGCACCAAGAAGCAGUUCCAGAAGUUCUGA